GAGUUUUUGAUGUCGCAGAUACUGCAUCAGGAACUGAUUGGAUAAUAAUCAGUCACCAUCGGUUCCUAAUGCAUUGCCUUCAGCAUCUAAACA
Molecule: microRNA precursor, 93 nt
Filed under: Pterocles gutturalis (yellow-throated sandgrouse)
Lineage: Eukaryota; Metazoa; Chordata; Aves; Pterocliformes; Pteroclidae
Also listed under: 1 other name
Description: mir-217 microRNA precursor family
Rfam family: mir-217 microRNA precursor family
Source: Rfam by way of RNAcentral